This 1435-nucleotide ribosomal RNA is filed under the name uncultured organism. Its description in RNAcentral is "partial small subunit ribosomal RNA". It matches the Rfam family "Bacterial small subunit ribosomal RNA". The record is from RNAcentral.
CUGUCGGCGUGCUUAACACAUGCAAGUCGAACGGAAAGGCCCUGCUUUUGUGGGGUGCUCGAGUGGCGAACGGGUGAGUAACACGUGAGUAACCUGCCCUUGACUUUGGGAUAACUUCAGGAAACUGGGGCUAAUACCGGAUAGGAGCUCCUGCUGCAUGGUGGGGGUUGGAAAGUUUCGGCGGUUGGGGAUGGACUCGCGGCUUAUCAGCUUGUUGGUGGGGUAGUGGCUUACCAAGGCUUUGACGGGUAGCCGGCCUGAGAGGGUGACCGGCCACAUUGGGACUGAGAUACGGCCCAGACUCCUACGGGAGGCAGCAGUGGGGAAUAUUGCACAAUGGGCGGAAGCCUGAUGCAGCAACGCCGCGUGCGGGAUGACGGCCUUCGGGUUGUAAACCGCUUUCGCCUGUGACGAAGCGUGAGUGACGGUAAUGGGUAAAGAAGCACCGGCUAACUACGUGCCAGCAGCCGCGGUGAUACGUAGGGUGCGAGCGUUGUCCGGAUUUAUUGGGCGUAAAGGGCUCGUAGGUGGUUGAUCGCGUCGGAAGUGUAAUCUUGGGGCUUAACCCUGAGCGUGCUUUCGAUACGGGUUGACUUGAGGAAGGUAGGGGAGAAUGGAAUUCCUGGUGGAGCGGUGGAAUGCGCAGAUAUCAGGAGGAACACCAGUGGCGAAGGCGGUUCUCUGGGCCUUUCCUGACGCUGAGGAGCGAAAGCGUGGGGAGCGAACAGGCUUAGAUACCCUGGUAGUCCACGCUGUAAACGGUGGGUACUAGGUGUGGGGUCCAUUCCACGGGUUCCGUGCCGUAGCUAACGCUUUAAGUACCCCGCCUGGGGAGUACGGCCGCAAGGCUAAAACUCAAAGGAAUUGACGGGGCCCCGCACAAGCGGCGGAGCAUGCGGAUUAAUUCGAUGCAACGCGUAGAACCUUACCUGGGUUUGACAUGGAUCGGGAGUGCUCAGAGAUGGGUGUGCCUCUUUUGGGGUCGGUUCACAGGUGGUGCAUGGCUGUCGUCAGCUCGUGUCGUGAGAUGUUGGGUUAAGUCCCGCAACGAGCGCAACCCUUGUUCACUGUUGCCAGCACGUUAUGGUGGGGACUCAGUGGAGACCGCCGGGGUCAACUCGGAGGAAGGUGGGGAUGACGUCAAGUCAUCAUGCCCCUUAUGUCCAGGGCUUCACGCAUGCUACAAUGGCUGGUACAGAGAGUGGCGAGCCUGUGAGGGUGAGCGAAUCUCGGAAAGCCGGUCUCAGUUCGGAUUGGGGUCUGCAACUCGACCUCAUGAAGUCGGAGUCGCUAGUAAUCGCAGAUCAGCAACGCUGCGGUGAAUACGUUCCCGGGGCUUGUACACACCGCCCGUCAAGUCAUGAAAGUUGGUAACACCCGAAGCCGGUGGCUUAACCGUUGUGGGGGAGCCGUCGAAGGUGGGACUGGUGAUUAG